AUGACAGAGCACGUGGCUGGGGUAAGCCGCGGCUGCAGCGGGGCAGCCGGGUUGGGCGCGGGCGUCGGGCAGGGACGCCGCGGUGAGGGAAGGCGUCCGAGCAGCAGUAGGGGAAAGGCGAGGUCAUGCGAUGUCACGGGUGAGGUGGCUGCAAAUGGGCGUGCCCUGGGUGUGGCGCGCGUGGUCGGCCGCGGCCAGAGGUCCACGGCAGGCGUGGUAGGACGUGUGCGACACAGGCACGAGGUACGGCCAUGGAAGCCUUGCCGGAUGUGGGUGGCUAUGGCGAUGGAACCAAGCGAAGGAAAGGGGGGAGGGGUGGCAGCUUACAGCGGGUGCAGUGAAGGGCUUGAUGGAGACGGGGACGUUGCGGUGGCUGGGGAUCGACCGGCGAUGCGCGCCGACCGCGGGGAGGAAGAAGAUGCGUGCGACGGGGAACAACUCCACGGCUUUGCUCCGAUGGUGUGGGUGACGAAGACGAAGGUGCGAGACGUCCGGGACGCGAUGGUGCAGCACGGGGUGGCUGGUGGCUACGCGGACGGCGACGCCAUGGCUACGGGUGGUUCGGGUUUGUCCAGAUCGACAAGAGGGGCGAGAGAAGGGGGAUCUGGCGUGCUAGGGUUUGCAGGGGGUCGAGAUGACCUUGUAGGACGCCGGUGCAUCGCUCGAUGGCCGGCACGUGUCCGAUCCGUCCAUUGA
Molecule: ribosomal RNA, 696 nt
Filed under: Triticum aestivum (bread wheat)
Lineage: Eukaryota; Viridiplantae; Streptophyta; Magnoliopsida; Poales; Poaceae
Description: partial small subunit ribosomal RNA
Source: RNAcentral